Molecule: long non-coding RNA, 660 nt
Filed under: Olea europaea subsp. europaea
Lineage: Eukaryota; Viridiplantae; Streptophyta; Magnoliopsida; Lamiales; Oleaceae
Source: RNAcentral
UCACAUUCUCACCUCUAAAAAAAUUAGAUACCUACAUAUCAAGCGUGUUUUUGACUAAUUAAAUUAUUUGGAAUUACUUAUAAUAUUGCAAGUAGUACAUAAAAUGUUGCAAACAGCUAAUUACUUAUACUGGAAAUAAUGCCAAAGUGGAAGUACCACAUUUGCACCCGAGAACAAGGGUAUCAAUUCAUCAACCACAUACAUGAAUCAAUCGGUCAACCCGACCCCUUUCCUUGCUUGUCACAUUUGGCAAUUUCUUUUUCCUUGUUGAAAGUCAUGUGCAGUGAUAUGUCGAUGCCUCGUUUCUCACUAAUUCUAGCUAGCCCAUCAAACAGUCUUGGAAACUCUUCGUCUUCCUUGUUGGGCGCAUGAUUCACUGGAUGAUUAACAGAACGUGAUUCCUCGUCUGCAUCUUCAUCUUUCACCCAAUCAAAGAAUCCACAGUCAUCGCUACAGGCGAAGAACAGACGCCCUUUGUUACCAAUAUCUCGUUCAACCUCAAAAUAUUUUCAAUAUUCGUGGUCACAACUAGGGCAUCGGCAUUUUGAGUGGCAUUGUCCAAAAUAGUGCGUGUUGCUUCUACAACCAUGACAAACUCCAAAAUUUCUUCCUCUCAUUCUACUCGAUGACUGCAAAUGAAACAAUGUGAGUCCAUCAUCA